UACGUAGGGGGCAAGCGUUGUCCGGAAUUAUUGGGCGUAAAGGGUGCGUAGGCGGCCUUUUAAGUCAGAUGUGAAAGCCCGCGGCUUAACUGCGGGAUUGCAUUUGAAACUGGGAGGCUUGAGUAUCGGAGAGGGUAGUGGAAUUCCCAGUGUAGCGGUGAAAUGCGUAGAUAUUGGGAGGAACACCAGUGGCGAAGGCGACUGCCUGGACGAAAACUGACGCUGAGGCACGAAAGCUAGGGGAGCAAAC
Molecule: ribosomal RNA, 250 nt
Filed under: uncultured bacterium
Lineage: Bacteria
Description: partial 16S ribosomal RNA
Rfam family: Bacterial small subunit ribosomal RNA
Source: RNAcentral